This 3562-nucleotide long non-coding RNA is filed under the name Homo sapiens (human). Its description in RNAcentral is "HSALNT0195791". The record is from RNAcentral. Lineage: Eukaryota; Metazoa; Chordata; Mammalia; Primates; Hominidae.
AACUGGUAGCAUCUGUGAUAUGGUUUGGCUGUGUCCCCACCCAAAUCUCAUCUUGAAGUGUAGCUUCCAUAAUCCCCAUGUGUCGUGGGAGCCACCCGGUGGCAGGUAAUUGAAUCAUGAGGGUGGGGUUUUCCCAUGCUGUUCACAUGAUAGUAAGACUCACGACAUCUGAUGGUUUUAUAAAGGGGAGUCCCCUUGCACAUGCCCUCUUGCCUGCUACCAUGUAAGAUGUAGCUUUGCUCCUCAUUUGCCUUCUGCCAUGAUUGUGAGGCCUCCCCAGCCAUGUUGAACUGUGAGUCAAACUCUUUCCUUUAUAAAUUACCCAGUCUUGGGUAUGUUUUUAUUCGCAGCAUGAGAACAGACUAAUACAGUCUGGCUACACUUACCUGUUGGGAAGAGGCCCUAUUGGUAGCAAAGAGUGGUGAGAUUGAUUAGUGAUGACUGUUUUGGGCAUGAAAUCAGAGAUUGGUGGCAGGUAUCAAAAAAAGCUCUUUGGCAUCCAGAGGUCCUUUUAGAGAGAAAACCAUCUUUGUCUUGGAUAUAUUUUUACAGGUUGUUUUAGGUGUUAAAGACAGGGCCUGAUGGACAUAAGCUAUAACAAAAUAGCAAAACAAAAUAAGAGGUCAAUUGUUCUGCCAAAUGAAUAAGAAUUCAAGAUCAUGGAUGAGCAGGAGAGGCAGAAAAGAGAAAGGAAGUGUAGGAGAAAAGAGGCUGAGCUACAUGCUGGGUAGUGGAGCUUCAAAGAGAAUGGAAGAGAACACGGGAAAUUCCUUAUGGUAGAGCAGACAAAGAUUUCAAAAGUCAGAAUACCUCAUUUCCAAUUUGUUGAUCAAAACUGACAAUUCUAGUCUUUCAUACUUGCUGACACUUGUGUUGGUGGCAUUUGGGGAAAUAAAGGAAUGGGAGCAGUGUUCAGUAUGAGAUGACAUAAUAAGGGAAAAGAAGAGAGCAUGUAAGGUGCUUAAGUGUUGAUCCACAAAAGGAACCAACUCAGCAAAACAGAGAAUCCAGGCUGGAUGUGGUGGCUCAUGCCUGUAAUUCCAGCAAUUGGGGAAGCCGAAGUGAGAGCUUCAGCGGAGCCCAGGAAUUCAAGAACAGCCUGGGCAACAUAGUGAGACCUGUCUCUUCGGAAAAAAAAAAUGGCUAUGCACAGUGGCACACACCUAUGGUUCCAGCUAAUUUGGAGGCUGAGGUGAGAGGAUCGCUUGAACCUGAGAAGUCAAGGAUCAUGCCACUGUACCCCAGUGUGGGCAACAGAGACAGACCCUGUCUUAAAGAGAGAGAGGAGAGAGAGAGAGAGAGAGAGAGAAAGAGAGAGAGAGAGAGAGAGAGAGAGAGAGAGAGAAAAUCUGGAUAUAAAGAAAUACAAGCUCCACCUUCACCCUUAAGUUUCCCUGGACCAGUUUGGAAAAGAACCUGUCUUCUGCUGCAUGUGGGAUGAGGGUCUGGGCUAAUUUCUUUUGAAUUUUAAAAAAUAGGAUACUACAAGGUGAUGUAUGUAAGAUAGAUACCUACCUGCUUCCCUGUUCCCUGCUAUCCUCCUAAUUUUACAGAUGGGGAAACUGAGGCCCAUACAUCAGGAAGAAACCUAACGGAGGUUUCAUCUGGUGACUGCCCAAUGAGCCUUUUUCUGUGAGACUGUGGUAGGAGAUACUAGGCAAGGUUAAUGAGCCAACCCUUCCUGUCUGCCGUCAUCCUUGGUCUGCAGCACUCAGCUCCAUUUGGGCGAAAUAUCACAGACUCUCAGAUGCACUGUUAUUUUUAAAGGGAGAAUUGUCAAAACUUAAAUGAAGGCUGUUUAGUCAUAUGCAUGCUUGUGUGUGUUGGCAUAUUUGGGCAGGUUACGGGGUAUAGUUGGGAAUCUGGGUAUGACUGGAAGGGAAAGGGAAAGGAAGGGGGUUUCAUGGUCCAAUUGCUUGCUUUUAGUUUUUGCUGUAACCUUCCUCCCCAGAGGGGUCAUUUCAGUAGAAUGCCCUGAAACAUUAAGUCUUGCAUGUAAACAGUGGGUGGUCACUUAGUAAUGGGAAUCUAGGGGAGCCCAAAGGGCGGCCUGAUGAAAAACUGGUUCCUCCAUUUUCCUCCCUACAGUGCCUAACAUUUCCAUCAUGAGGUACCCCCUUGGGAUGAAGCAUGGCUAUGCAAAUGUCUUUGCUAAGAAGGGAGCAAACUCUGUAAUAUCUACCAAUGCUCUGUAAGGAUUCAUUAUUGAUAAGCCCUCAAAAUGUACUGCUGUUUCUGUUUUCAAAAUAUUUGCAUGUAGACAUUGUUAUUUGAGCCUCAUCACAUUUCUAUGUCAAGAACAAAUAAUGUCCCCAUUUUUCAGAGGAAUAAACUGAGCCUUGGUCCUAGAAGAUAGUGACUUGUCCGGGAGCAACCUAAAGAGCAGAGGCCACUGACAAUGAUCUCACCACUCUCAGAAGCAUAAGAAUGAGCCAUGGAUUCACAGUGGUGUAGCCUGAGGAGGUGAUUUGACGGAAGACAGCAGAAAUCUCAUCACUGACCCAGGAGGUGAAGGAAAUACCCAGUGUGACUCGAUGGAGCCCAAAGACUUUCCUCCCCAGCUCUUCUCCCUCCGCCUCAGCAAUUUCAAGGUCCAGGACCCUGGCCAGCAUGAGAGGAGAGAGUGGAAACUAAGACAUAAAUCAAACUUACAUCAGGAAUACAGUCACCUAUCACCAGGACCUCAGGAUGCCUGGUCAUCCCUCCAAGAACCAUGAGCACUGUUAGAGAAAAGUCACAAAAACAAUUCAACAUUAUUCCAAUUCUUGCUUGCCAUCCUGCAUUUCUUGGCCUGGAGAUUCCCUUACCCUCAAAGUCAAUGCUUCUGGAGUAAGCAGAGCAGUACCAAAUGGCUAAGGGCCCCUCUUGGAGGCUGGACCUAUAUCACAACAGUAUAUGCAUGUGAUACCUCCUAGUAUGGUGCUUAGGAGUCAGGCAGAUCUGGUUCUAACACAAACUCUGCCACCAACCAGCUGUGUGCCCUUGGUCCAGUAAGUUAACUUCUGUUUCUCCAUUUCCCCUUUGGAAUUUUAACAAUAUCAAAAUACUACCUAUUAUAUUAUACAACAAAAUAAAAUAAUGCACUUUAAACAUCUGGUAUCUUUGUUUCCUCAGUAAAUUUCAGAGUCAUCCUUAUUAUUGCUGUUACUGUUGUUGUUUUAAUUAACAAUAAUUGCAAAUAAGCACUUUAGCUUCUGAAUUUAAUGCUAGAAUAUCUUUUAACAUGAAGAAUUCUUGACCUCCACUCUCAUCAUCUCCUUUUGACCCGGGAGAACCCAGUUGUUCCUGUGGACUUGCAAUCUUGUUAUUUCCUAGGCAAGGGCACUAGAUGCACUGACAUUUGCUUGAACUUAAGCCUGCAAGGAAGGAAGAAGCAGUUCUUUCCUUCUGAAUACCAGAUAGUUUCUAACUGCUGCUGAAUAGGGGUAGAAUAUAAAUAGCGGGUCAGAGAAAAAAUACCCUCGUUUCUUUUUUUUUUCUUCUUCUCUGGCCUCAAAUCUUUCUCUCAUCUCCCAGAAAUGACUGAUUUCACUGCUAUCCUGCCACAUACCUUGCACUGUGA